Molecule: non-coding RNA, 28 nt
Filed under: Homo sapiens (human)
Lineage: Eukaryota; Metazoa; Chordata; Mammalia; Primates; Hominidae
Source: RNAcentral
UAAUAAUAAGCCCUUGAACCCUGAGUGA